GGCAAGGUCUCUUAGGCAAUGGUCCCUCUUGCUCCCAAUAUCGAUAUCGUUUCUCCAUCUGUGUCCCCCGGGCGGCCGCCUCCUGGCUUAGGUUGCCCCCCCAGGGGGUCUUACCAGUCAUUGGCUAACCGGCCUUCUCACCUCUGGGGCACAGUUUGUUGGCAAGCUUUUUCCAGUGAUUAUUAACCCUUCCUAUGUCAGGGGCGGCUCCAGGAGGCUCCAGGACUGAGAAAGGUGCUUAGUCUUUCUCCGGGCACCUUACACAGUUGUCUGAGCAGAUCUCACAGUUCUUCUCUUCACAGAAGGUCUGUCAGACGUCAGGAAGGUGCCUUUAUGGCCCAGCUCGUCAGCUACCACAAGCGCUGGAGAAGAAGGAGGCGUUCUGGAGGAUUUGCGUGGGCCUCUUGGCAGGCUGCAAGGUCCCUCUAGUUGUGGCAUGUGGGACGCUGCCUCAGCGUGGUUUGAUGAGCAGUGCUGUGUCCGUGCCCAGGAUUCGAACCAACGAAACACUGGGCCGCCAGCAGCGGAGUGCACGAACUUAACUACUUGGCCACAGGGCCAGCCACAGUCCAUUCACUUUUAAAGUCGCUAUUGAUAACGGCUGCACCAGUUUGCCCAUCUGAUUUACACCUCGGCACCAACAUCAGGUUCCAAAAAUUUCCAUGGGGCGAGCAAGAGAACCUGCCAGCCACCCAAGACAUGGCCCUGCAGACAGGCCUGGAUGCAGCGUCCCCGGCAGACGGUGGACCGUGCUGCAGGACACGGAUGCUUCCAUUCGCUCACCACGAAGAGAGGCGAGCGGCUUCCAGACCUGCGCGCCCAUCAGGCACAGCUCGAAUGAAGCCAGGUCAGGACAGGAGCUGACAGCGGCCACCUCCCAUCCUCCCAUCUCCCACCCGCUCAGAGGCGUCCCUGUACCUAGUUUCUCCAAAUGGCAACAACUCUAGAACAACUGUGAUAUUGACAUUGAUACUGUCCACCAAUCUGAUUCAGUUUCUCCUGUUUACUUGCGCUUACUUGUGUACGUGUGUGUGUUUAACUCUAAGCAAUUUAUUUCAGAUGUGUAGGUUUCUGUAUCCACCAUCACAAUCAAAAUAUGAAACUGUUACAUCACCAUAAGAAUCCUCUUUAUUGCCUAUUUAUAGGAGACUUCCUUCCCCAAUGUGUGUGAACACAUGUGUGUGAACAUAAGUUUUAAUUUCUCUAGGAUAAGUGCUCAAGUGUACAAUUAAUGAGUUGUGUGGCAAUUGCAUGUUUAGUUUUAUAAGAAACUGCCAAACUAUUUUCCAGAGUAACUGUACCAUUUCACGUUCCCACCAGCAAAGUAUGAGUGAUCCAGUUUCUCCUCAUCCUUGCCGGCAUUUGAUGGUGUUGUUUUUUCACCUUUAGUCAUUCUGACAGGCAUGUAGUGAUGUAUCAUUGUGAUUUUAAUUUGCAUUUCCCUAAUGCCUAAUGCUGAGCAUAUUUUCAUGUGCUUACUUGACAUCUGUAUAAUCUUUGGUGAAAUAUCUGUUCAUCUCUUUUGCUCACAAAAUGCAAAAAUCUUUUCACUAGUAAAUUCAUAGAUAUAUCAGCGGAGAUUUGCUAGGAUACAGGUGCAAGAAAGUUCAUUGUAACAAUAUUUUAGGAAUAAAACAGCAACAGCCACAAAGCCCACCCUGGAAACAGUGUAAAGAACGUUAGUAGGGAUUGACCCAAUUAUCACUGCUCUGUGGUAUGAUCAAACAGUGGGGCCAAAUAAUGGGACAAAGGUAAAAGUCUGGAGUCCCUUAAAGAAGGAAAGGUUACCACUCACCUCACAUGGAUUGUGACAUCCCAGAGACGACAGCUCCCAGGGAGAGGACAAGCAUCCCGAACUUCGCUUUCCCAUGGGGCGCUGCAGACACCACCUCAUCGGCCAGGGGUCCCCCUGGGCCCUCUGCAAAGCUCCCUUUGCUUCUGCUUGUGGGGUUUUGGGUCCCCUGGCUUUUUCCAGCCACUCUGGAAAGUCUUCCCACCAGGUGCCAGUUGGAAGUGGAGACCUCAGCACACACCUGGAGCGAUGUACUGAAGACUGAGCUGGUCCAGGCCACUCCAAGUUUCCCACGUUUCUCCUCUGUAAUGGAACCUGACUCUGUGUUUCGAUGUUUGAUUGCUGACACAUCUGAGGCUUCUACUCUCCCUCUUCCCCUGGUGCCCCACAUCCAGGCAAGCUGGAAAGCUCAGCUGCUCCCAGCUUUGGCACGGCGGCAGUUUCAAACCAUGCCAGCCCCUUCCUGGGGACAGUAGCUCCUACCUGGGCCCACCCACAGCCACAACACAAACCCCAAGCCGGUCUCCUUUCCUUGCUCUCUCAGCCAUUUCCAAACCCGCUUGGGAAGCUCUCCUGUUCUUCCCUGAAUGCCUCAUCAUGAAAGUAACUAAUCUUUCACACCCUCUUGGUGUGCGGCCACCGCACCCUCCCUGGUACGUCCAGGCCUGAGGCCCUAUUCUUAUAAUCCAUGACUGAAGUCUGUUCCUAUAACCCAUCCCUGACCUAAGAUUUCAUACUUUUUAACCAGUAAUGCAGUAGGUCUAAUCUCUUUUCAACUUAUUUUUUUAAAAUAAAAUGUUCUUACAUCUCAGGUAGAAAACAAAACAAAUCACAUUUCCGUUGCUACAGUAACACUCUGAAGUCAGUGAGGAAUCAAUUAUACGCAUCACAGUAUUUCACAUUUCUUUCCCAGCAGUUUGUUCCUCCCAACCCCACUCCACCAUUUUUAUUUAUUUAUUUAAAGAUUGGCACCUGAGCUAACACCUGCUGCCCAUCUUUUUUCUUUUUCUUUUUCUUCUCCCCAAAUCCCCCCAGCACAUAGUUGUAUAAUCUAGUUGUGAGUCCUUCUGGUUCUGCUAUGUGGGACGCCACCUCAGCAUGGCCUGAUGAGCGGUGCCAUGUCUGUGCCCAGGAUCCAAACCAGCAACACCCCAGGCCGCUGAAGCAGAGUGCACGAUCUUAACCACUCGGCCACGGGGGCGGCACACCACCAUUUUUAAAUAAAAGAACAUGGCUACUAAUUAACCCAUGUUAGAAGAUUUGCAGUGGUUCUCAAAUGCAAGCUAGUUUGUCCCUUAGGUAGGGUGACCAGUGGUCUUAGUGUGCCCAGGACUUUCCUGAUUUUAGCUCUGAAAGUCUGUAUCCUGGAAACCCCCCAGUCCCAGGUAAGUUGGGACAGUUGGUCACCCUACCCCCAGGGGAUCUUGGUAAGGUCUGGAGACAUUUUUGGUUGUUACGACUGUGUGUGUGUGUGUUCUACUGUAUCUAGUGAGUAGAGGCCACAGACGCUGCUAACCAUCUUACAACAUGUGGACAGUUCACCACAACAAAGGAUAUCCAAAAUGUCAACAGUGCUAAGGUUGAGAAACUGCUGUAGCACUGUGCUCUUCAAAGUGUGGUCUUUGGAUUAGCAGCUUGGAUACCAAGGAGAGUCUGCAUGUUAGAAAUGCAGCAACUCUGGGCCCAUCCCAGAGCCAGUGGGCCGGGGUCAGCCAGCCAUUUAACAAGCCCCCUGGGUGAUUUGCGUACACAUUGAAGCUGGAGAAGUGCUGCUCCAGUAUUUACGGUUUAUUCUUUCUGAGUGUCAGCAUGACACAGGCUCAGACAGUUCUGAUUAAUUAUAUUCACUGAUUUUUAUUGAGCUCCAGUGUCACCAUGGGGUCACCAGUAGCCUCUCUUUCCAGGGUGCCUUCUCACCCAGGGGCCUCUGAAAGCAUUGUUGACCUGUGACACGAUGUCUCAGAUUCAUCUUCUGCUCUCCUGCACCUGGAAGGAACCUUCUUUCUAAAGAGAGCUGCUUCCAUUUAGUGGAGAACAAGACUGAGAGACCAAAACCCGGCCGUGGGGUUGUACAUCUGAGCACGGGAUAGAAUAAGACAAUAGCCAAGAAGUUAAACAGACCUUUCCCUCACAGGGUCCUCCAAUGGGAUCCGUACAGUGAGUGGAUAGAAGCCGUGAAAGGAAACCUUAGAAAAAUACAAGUGACUGCAUUUCAGCCUAACACUCUUCUUUCACCCUUCAUCUGCAUGGGCACUAGUGUCAUUUAUCAUGCACAGUUUUAGUUUUGAACUCCACUUUCUCAAAGACCUUUGGACAAUUACGUAAUAACUAUAGCAAUACAGCAGUCCAAAUUUAAAAAGUUAAUAAAGCAUGUAAGCAAAUACAACUGCGUUAAUAUUAAGAGUCAUCAGAGGUGGAGAGUUAUUUCAUGGGAUGGCCUGUGUUUCAAGGGAAGCAGCUAAAAAUGAGGUGGCAAGUAAUGAUCUGGGAGCAGCAGUUGGAGGCCGGAAGAAUUCUGGGCGGGCGAGCUGCUGGGAAGGUAGGGGCUUGGGGAAACACCAGGCUUCCGCAGAGGCAGGAAGUGAAUUCUGCUAACAACCAAUGAGCUUGAAAAAGAACCUUGAGCCUCUGAUGAGACUGUGGCCCCGGCCAGCACCCUGCCUGCGGCCUGUGAGCGCGUGAGCCCGCGAGCAGAGAACCUGGUUGAGUCAUGCCUGGACUUCUGACCUACAGAACAGUAAAUGGGUGCUGUUUUAAGCUACUAGUUUGUGGUAAUUUGUUACACGGCAAUAGAAAACUAAUACAUUCCACCUUCUAUGUUCAAUUGUAGAGCAUAGGAUCCUUAAUCCUUUCUCUGUCCUGCCAUUCCAGAGGAACUGGUUAAAGUGUGUCAGUGACUGCAGGUCAUCACGGCAGGAUUUUCCCCAGGGAUGGGAGGGGUCGUCUGAAAGAGCCAUCACUUGAUUCUGUUCACCUCUGUUAUCAAUCACUACUGCAAAUGAUUUAGGCAUUUUCUUCCAUUUUUUCUAUUUAUCAAAA
Molecule: long non-coding RNA, 4831 nt
Organism: Equus caballus (horse)
Lineage: Eukaryota; Metazoa; Chordata; Mammalia; Perissodactyla; Equidae
Source: Ensembl